This 270-nucleotide ribosomal RNA is filed under the name uncultured archaeon. RNAcentral's name for it is "partial 16S ribosomal RNA". It matches the Rfam family "Archaeal small subunit ribosomal RNA", at positions 477 to 747 of the family's 1478-position model. The record is from RNAcentral.
CAGCACCUCAAGUGGUCAGGAUGAUUAUUGGGCCUAAAGCAUCCGUAGCCGGCGCUGUAAGUUUUCGGUUAAAUCUGUACGCUCAACGCACAGGCUGCCGGGAAUACUGCAGAGCUAGGGAGUGGGAGAGGUAGACGGUACUCGGUAGGAAGGGGUAAAAUCCUUUGAUCUAUUGAUGACCACCUGUGGCGAAGGCGGUCUACCAGAACACGUCCGACGGUGAGGGAUGAAAGCUGGGGGAGCAAACCGGAUUAGAGACCCGAGUAGUCC